RNAcentral lists this unclassified non-coding RNA (329 nucleotides) under soil metagenome. Its description in RNAcentral is "partial contains 5.8S ribosomal RNA, internal transcribed spacer 2, and large subunit ribosomal RNA". The stretch from base 1 to 120 matches the Rfam family "5.8S ribosomal RNA", at positions 35 to 154 of the family's 154-position model. The record is from RNAcentral.
GAUGAAGAACGCAGCGAAAUGCGAUAAGUAAUGUGAAUUGCAGAAUUCAGUGAAUCAUCGAAUCUUUGAACGCACAUUGCGCCCUCUGGUAUUCCGGGGGGCAUGCCUGUUCGAGCGUCAUUACAACCCUCAAGCUUUGCUUGGUAUUGGACAUUGCCAGUUUCUGGCAGGUCUUAAAAUCAGUGGCGGUGCCAUUUGGCUUCAAGCGUAGUAAUUCUUCUCGCUUUGGAGAUCCAAGUGGUUACUUGCCAAUAACCCCCAAUUUUUUCAGGUUGACCUCGGAUCAGGUAGGGAUACCCGCUGAACUUAAGCAUAUCAUAAGCGGAGGA